Piliocolobus tephrosceles (Ugandan red Colobus) is the source of this 1916-nucleotide long non-coding RNA. The record is from Ensembl. NCBI's taxonomy places the organism in Eukaryota, Metazoa, Chordata, Mammalia, Primates, Cercopithecidae.
UAAAUACUAAUAUGGUAAAUACUAAUAAUUUACCAUCCCAACCGAAUACUCCACUUGAAACUAAAACGUCGUCAUUUACACUAAAAAAAAAAAGUGUGGACAAAAUAGUAAAAGGUAAAAGUAAAAAAAAUAACUUAGAUGACUAUAACAUUUUUCAAAAUCAAAAAAAUUAUAUUGAUGCAAACUAUUUAUUGAUAGCUUGGGAAAUAGCUAAUUUUUAUUUUUCUAUUUUAUAUUACAAAUUAGAAUUAAAAAAAAUAUUAGUGGAGAUGUUAAAAUGGUUGAAUUUUUUUAAAAAAAUUGAUAAGAAAAAGAAAAAGGGUGCUUACGAGUUAUUUAAAUUCCGUUGUGCAUUUUAUUUUAUACAUAUAUUAAUUUUUAUGAAUAAAUAUAGUUAUGCUAAAAAAAUGAUUAAACAUGCUUCGAAUGAUUGUUUUGAUAGUAAUAUGUUAUAUAUUGAUAAAAAAAAAGAAGAGUGUGAAAAUGUGAAUAUUACUACUGUUACAAAUAAUACCGAUACUGUUUAUCCUUCACAUGACGUUAUUAGUAUAAGUGAUGAUGAUAGUGUUGAAACUAAUAAUAAAACAGAUAUUAUUUUUUUAAAUAAUGUAGAUAGAGAGUUACCAAAACCAAUGGAUGGUGAUAUAUUAAAAAAUAAUAUACCAAAACAAUCGAUAAAAGAAACAAAUAUAAUAACUAAUGUGAAAAAAGUACAUAAAUUAAUAAUUAAUCAUUCAAAAGAUUUAUCUAACAUUCUAACAAUAUCAGAAAAAAACAAAAUGCUACACUCACAUAUAAUUAACAAAUGUUAUUUAUAUGAGAAAUGGACAAAUCACAUGAUUAUAAAAUAUAAUAAUGUAAUUACAUAUUUAUUAAAAAAAAAAAAUAUUGUAAAAUUAAUACUAUUCAAUAAAAGUAAUAUAUCAAUACUUAUGAAAAAUAAGAAAGAUAAAAAAAUAAUAAAAAAAGUGAUCAAUUAUAUGAAUAAGUUAGAAAUUAUAUUAUUAAAUCUUUAUUAUUUAUGUAUUAAAUUGUAUAAAAAUUAUUAUUACCAUGCUUCUAUAUUACAUUGUAAUACAGCAAAACAAAUAUAUUAUGCAUCUAAAUAUUUAAAUAUACAUAUAAAACCAAAAAAAUAUAUGCAAACUUAUGUUACUUUCGAUUGGGAACAAAGUCAUAACAAUAACACUAGUAAUCAUCCCAAUGAUAAUUCAACUACCUAUGACGAUAUCAAUUCAAAUAAAUUAACAAAAAGUUUUUCUUCAUUACAUUUACCUAACCACAUGUUAUAUAAAAUGGCUAAUGGUUAUGUAGAAGAAGAAACUCAUCACAUGGAUACAAUUAAAGGAGAAACAUCGUUCGAAAUGGAUAAAUCUUAUUUAAAAAAAAACACAACCGAUUAUCUUACCAAAAAAAUAUCACCAUAUAAUAAUAAUAAUAAUAAUAAUCACACAUUUUAUAUAAAAGGUACAUACAAUAACAACAAUACAGAUCCCAAUAAUUAUUGCAAUAUUCCCAACUCAAUGAACAAUACGUUACAUUUUUCAAAUAUACAUUCAUCAGGAUUUGUAAAAAAAAAAAAUAACCACAACAAUGACAAUAAUGAUAUGUUUUUUCUACAUGCCCUUGUUUUGAGUAUACAAGUCCAAUAUACAUUAUCCAUAAAUAUAAUGAUUUGUUCUGAACUUUUUAUGUUUCGAAAAAAAUUAAACAAACUGAAAAGAAAAAAUAGAGCUAUGAAACGUGAAGUAAAACUUAGGAAGAGUAAUAAGGCAAACAUGUUAUUGAAAAUUAAAAAAGAAAAAAAUAGAAAAUGUAGGGACAGUGACAAUGGUAUUAACAACAGUGGGGACAGUGACAAUGGUAUUAGCAUCAAUGAGGAUAGUGGCAGUGGUAUUAGCAACAGUGGGGACAGU